This 1619-nucleotide ribosomal RNA is filed under the name Tropicoperdix chloropus (scaly-breasted partridge). Its description in RNAcentral is "16S ribosomal RNA". It matches the Rfam family "Bacterial large subunit ribosomal RNA". Lineage: Eukaryota; Metazoa; Chordata; Aves; Galliformes; Phasianidae. The record is from RNAcentral.
CUCGCCCUCCCUCUAGCCCAGUCAAUCUCCACACCAACUAACAACAAAUUAACUCAUCCACUUAACUAAAACAUUUCAAUUCGUCUCAGUAUGGGCGACAGAAAAGACUCUAGGCGCGAUAGAGAUCUCUAACCGUACCGCAAGGGAAAGAUGAAAUAAUAAUGAAAUAUCACAAGCAAAAAACAGUAAAGACCAACCCUUGUACCUCUUGCAUCAUGAUUUAGCUAGAACAACCAAGCAAAGAGAACUAAAGUUUGCCACCCCGAAACCCAAGCGAGCUACUUGUGAGCAGCUAAAAUUGAGCACACCCGUCUCUGUUGCAAAAGAGUGGGAUGACUCACCAGUAGAGGUGAAAAGCCAACCGAGCUGGGUGAUAGCUGGUUACCUACUAAAUGAAUUUAAGUUCUCCCUUAACCCCUUCACCAAGGAAACCUAAACUUUAACCUUACACCUGUUAGAGUUAAGAGUAAUUCGACGGGGGUACAGCUCCUUCGAAAAAGAAUACAACCUCGCCCAGCGGAUAAUACAUUUUCUUUUCUACCGUAGGCCUUCAAGCAGCCACCAACAAAAGAAUGCGUCAAAGCUCUUUCAUUAAAAAUCUAAAAACCCAUUUGAAUCCCUCACCAAAAGUAGGUCAACCUAUGACAAUAGAAGAAUUAAUGCUAAAAUAAGUAACUUGGAGCCUUCCUCAUCAGGCGUAAACUUACAUAAACAUAUUAUUAACAAAACCAACCUUAUACCCACACUCCAACAAGAACGUGUAUAUAACCUAAACCUGUUAGACCAACUCAGGAGCGCCCAUAUGAAUGAUUAAAACCUGCAAAAGGAACUCGGCAACCUAAAGACCCGACUGUUUCCCAAAAACAUAGCCUUCAGCAAAUACCAAGUAUUGAAGGUGAUGCCUGCCCAGUGACCUCCAAUGUUCAACGGCCGCGGUAUCCUAACCGUGCGAAGGUAGCGCAAUCAAUUGUCUCAUAAAUCGAGACUUGUAUGAAUGGCUAAACGAGGUCUUUACUGUCUCCUGCGGGUAAUCAGUGAAAUUAGUAUUCCCGUGCAAAAACGAGAAUGUGACCAUAAGACGAGAAGACCCUGUGGAACUUUAAAAUCGUAACCACCUUUCUACUCAACUAACAUCCACUGGACCCACUACAUUAAAGCAUUUGGUUAACAUUUUUCGGUUGGGGCGACCUUGGAGAAAAAUAGACCCUCCAAAUCACCAGACCACACCUCUUCACCAAGAUCAACCACUCAAAGUACUAACAGUAACUCAGACCCAAUAUAAUUGAUCAAUGGACCAAGCUACCCCAGGGAUAACAGCGCAAUCUCCUCCAAGAGCCCAUAUCGACAAGGAGGUUUACGACCUCGAUGUUGGAUCAGGACAACCUAAUGGUGCAGCCGCUAUUAAGGGUUCGUUUGUUCAACGAUUAACAGUCCUACGUGAUCUGAGUUCAGACCGGAGCAAUCCAGGUCGGUUUCUAUCUAUGAAUGUACUCCUCCCAGUACGAAAGGACCGGAGAAGUGGGGUCAAUACCUUAAAGCACACCCCAAUCCUCUAAGCAAUGAAUCCAACUCAACUGCUAAGAAGCCCCACAUUCACACCCACUCCUAGAAAAGGAACA